UCCUGCAGCUGCACGUGGGCUGUCGCCCAGC
This 31-nucleotide small RNA is filed under the name Bombyx mori (domestic silkworm). RNAcentral describes it as "ovarian small RNA-27920". Lineage: Eukaryota; Metazoa; Arthropoda; Insecta; Lepidoptera; Bombycidae. The record is from RNAcentral.